Molecule: transfer RNA, 73 nt
Filed under: Dictyocaulus viviparus (bovine lungworm)
Lineage: Eukaryota; Metazoa; Nematoda; Chromadorea; Rhabditida; Metastrongylidae
Rfam family: tRNA
About the family: Transfer RNA (tRNA) molecules are approximately 80 nucleotides in length. Their secondary structure includes four short double-helical elements and three loops (D, anti-codon, and T loops). Further hydrogen bonds mediate the characteristic L-shaped molecular structure. tRNAs have two regions of fundamental functional importance: the anti-codon, which is responsible for specific mRNA codon recognition, and the 3' end, to which the tRNAs corresponding amino acid is attached (by aminoacyl-tRNA synthetases). tRNAs cope with the degeneracy of the genetic code in two manners: having more than one tRNA (with a specific anti-codon) for a particular amino acid; and 'wobble' base-pairing, i.e. permitting non-standard base-pairing at the 3rd anti-codon position.
Source: Rfam by way of RNAcentral
GCCUCAGUAGUGUAAUUGAUCAGGAGAGCAGAUCGGAUAUCUGUAAGUGCGGGUUCGAGUCCCGCCUGAGGUU